Molecule: non-coding RNA, 737 nt
Organism: Paramisgurnus dabryanus
Lineage: Eukaryota; Metazoa; Chordata; Actinopteri; Cypriniformes; Cobitidae
Source: RefSeq, a predicted model, not a curated record
AAAAUACCGAACUUGUCCUUUAAAGCAUCUUUAAACUUUAAAAACAUGUUGUUUGUCGUGACUCUACAUUGUAAUACUCACCCGGUUACAGUAAUUUGUGUAAUGUUGGACAUACGAUGAAACAACACGACAUUGAUACAGCAAUUUGACCUCACACUCAUUUUUAUCAGCAGAUUAGUGUGCUUUGAGUACACCACAGUUCUGUAAGUGAAAAAUUAAUUCAUAUUUAUGUGUGUUUCUUUCUCAGUAAGGAAUAACUUUAACUGACUUUCUGUCUGUCUGUCUGUUCUCAACCAAACUGUCAUUCAAGACCUUUUAAAGCAAAAACAUUUCCCGUGCAAGUUUGAAUCUCUCUCAGUAAGGACUUAUUGACUGGCUGUCUGUUCUCGACCAAACGGUCAUUCUUACUCAUAAAAAACUUUUAAAGCACAAGUGUGUCCCGCGCAAGUUUGAAUUUCUCUCAGUAAGGACUGACGGAUGGCCAUUCACUCAUAAAACCUUUUAAAGGUUAGCACGAAUGCAUCCAGCAUAAUUUUGGAUCUUUACCAUUGAGGAGACUGGCUGACUGUUCUCAACAAACCAUCAUUCACACGCAAAAACUUUAAAGGUAAGUAUGAACGUGUCUAGAGCAGUUUUGGAUCUUUACCAUUGAGGAGGUUGAAUGACUUUCAUCUACCAACUGUCAUUAACACAACAAAAACUAAAGAACUGUUACUACAAGUGGACCGAUUCAGUUA